This 22-nucleotide microRNA is filed under the name Mus musculus (house mouse). Its description in RNAcentral is "mmu-miR-1929-3p". Lineage: Eukaryota; Metazoa; Chordata; Mammalia; Rodentia; Muridae. The record is from miRBase by way of RNAcentral.
CAGCUCAUGGAGACCUAGGUGG